UUGUUGAAUAAAAAAUAUUACAUGGAUAUCCCAGAAUUUUCUGUCCAUUUACUGGUGAUAAAAAUUGGAGUUGUUUCCAAAUAAAGUUGAUAUGAAUAUGUACAUACAAGUGUUUGAAUAGACAUAUAUUUUCAUUUAUCUUAGGUAAAUGUAUAGGAGUGGAGUGGCUAGAACAUAUAAUAGCUACAGGUUUAACUUUUUAAGAUACCAACAAACUGUUGCUGAAAGUGGUUCUACCAUUUUACAUUACCUGUCAGAAUUGUAAAAGUUUCAGUCUCUCCACAUCCUUGUUAACGCUUAUUAUGAUAAGCCUUUUUCAUUUUAAGCAUUACUGUGAUGUCCAGUGGUAUAUCAUUGUGGUUUCAAUUUUACAUUUCUUUGAUGAAAACAAUUUGAACACAUUUUUAUGUUUUAAUAUAUUAUGUAUAUCUUUUAUUUUUGGAAAUAUAUGUUCAAAUUGUUUGCCCAAAUUGUUAUGGGGUUGCCUGGUUUCUUAGCAGUGAACUUUGACAGUGUUUUAAGUAUUCUGAACAUGAAUCUUUUAUCAAAUAUAUAAUUUGCAAUUAUUUUCUCCUAAUCUGUAGAUUUUUUUCAUUCCCAUCAGUGUCUUUCAAAAAGCAAAAAUGUUGGCCAGGCACGGUGGCUCACGCCUGUAAUUCCAGCACUUUGGGAGGCCGAGGUUGGCAGAUCACGAGGGCAGGAGAUCCAGACCAUCCUGGCCAACAUGGUGAAACCCCGUCUCUACUAAAAAUACAAAAAUUAGCUGGGCAUGGUGGUGGGUGCCUGUAAUCCCAGCUACUCAGGAGGCUGAGGCAGGAGAAUUUCUUGAACCGGAUAGUCGGAGGUUGCUGUGAGCCGAGAUCAUGCCACUGUACUCUAGCCUGGUGACAGAGUGAGACUCCGUCUCCCAUGUGCAUGAGAAGCUGUUAUGUAAUAUCCGUAACUGGUUUGAAAAUCACUUGCCCAUUCAGUUCAGUUUGGCUUUACAAGCAGUUGCUCAGAGAGGUAGAUCAGUAGCCCUUUCUCAAGGAAGGGCCUGCGUUAUGAUUUCAGCGAGCUCUGUCUGAACAUGAUGUGACCCAGUGGCUACAGGUUUGAACAACAGAGUCUUCCCCUAUCUCCUGCAAUAAAGUACAUGACAAAGAGAAGCUGAGUUAAAAUUGUUGGGCUUUAGCAUAUAUGACAAAAAAAAGAAAUCAAUAGAAAUCUGUUCAUCAGGUAAAGUUUGGGGUGAAGACAGGUGGUUGGUGAAUAUAUAGAACAGCAACUACUUUGGGCGGUCUUGAUGCCAGGUCAACGCCAAAGUCUACCUAUUGGUCUGAAUAAAUAUUUGCCCAUACUCGCAGGCUUGGUCAGGAUUUGUGUAGAAAGUGCACAGCAGAACUGAGCCUAUGCAUUCCAAGUCCUGAGUACCCCUACAAAGGAAGAGGACACAAACGAAAAAUAUUCCCUCAUACCAAGGAUUGUCCUGAAAUCCAAGACCAUAUUUUAUGAGAAGACAUACAUCAGAGAGAGAGAGAUUACAGUAUGCAAUCUCUCAGCUGCCAACAGAACACAGAUGGGCUUGGGAACAGAGAAUGAUCCAGAUCUGCAGGACUGGAGCAAUCCGUGGGAAGUUUGGACAGAAGAUCUGAUGCAUAAGACAGUAAAGGACUAUUGAAUGUUCCAUGAUAGAUAUGCUUGUUCUUUUGCCUGCAUGCCCUUGAAUAAAGACAUUUUGAUCUCCAGGACCAACCUGAGAAACAUAUAAUUUAAUCUAGUUUUGAAAGAAGAGCCCUGCUACACAAAUACUGGCUCACAAUGUUAAGAGAUAUCAACUGAAAUAUCAAAGGGCUUUCAUAUUUCAUUAAAUUGACUAUCCUAUGUGUUUGAUAUUUCCAUUUAAUUGAAUAUUUCUUAACUCAGUGAAAAAUGUAUGAGCCUGCUGUGAUAAAUUCAGUGUCGCAUAUGGG
This 1952-nucleotide long non-coding RNA is filed under the name Pan troglodytes (chimpanzee). RNAcentral describes it as "lincRNA". Lineage: Eukaryota; Metazoa; Chordata; Mammalia; Primates; Hominidae. The record is from RNAcentral.